AGUCAGUUAUUCACAAACUUUCAACCAAUCAUCAUGAUGAAGUUAAGCCUUCUUUAUAUUCUAGUUAUUUCAAUGCUAGGAAUCGAGGGAGCUAGUAAAUGCGCAUCUGUGGUACCGACAAAUUCUAAUCCUUACUGUGGACUUUCUUUUGGGUGUGUAUAUAGUGGGCUAAAUCAAGAAGAUGUUUUAAAUGAGUCUUGUAAACGUAGGGAACAAGGCAAAACAGGUAUGUAAAAUAUAUUGAAAUCAAUUAUAAUUAUUAAUUAUUGGAAAAUUUUUUUAAAUUUUACAGGUUUUAGGAUAAUACACAAAGGACCAUGCAAGCCAGGAGCAACACCUUGUCCUAAAUCUUAAAUCAGUUUAAAAAGUAUACGACCAUCUUUUGAAAAUCUCUAAGGAAUUUUGGAAUGUAAUAUAUGUUGCAAUAAAAAAUGUAUUUUGAAAUUGA
Drosophila takahashii is the source of this 448-nucleotide non-coding RNA. NCBI's taxonomy places the organism in Eukaryota, Metazoa, Arthropoda, Insecta, Diptera, Drosophilidae. The record is from RefSeq and is a predicted model, not a curated record.